CGUAGGCUUCAGCCACGUGGCGGGACGUCUCACGGCUGAGUUUAUUUCUAAGCUUUCACCUUGAGUUUUCAGAAUGUUUUCAGAUGAGCCUGAUCUUGUUGAAUGAGAAAGGCCACUGUCUCUGGGCAAUGAACUUGUCUCUCAGACGCACACCAGCAAGACGAUUCAUGGAUCUACAGUAACAGACAGAGUUACCACAUGAGAGCACCAUGGACAAAGGGUUAUUGGUGGGGCUCAAUGCCUGCACCAUGAAUCCACUGCUCCUGGAGGCCACUUUUUUCCCCUUUUGUUGCCCUUGUUGAUUCAUCGUUGCCGUGGUUAUCAUUAUUGUUGUUAUUGAUGUCGUUGUUGUUGGAUAGGACAAAGAGAAAUGGAGAGAGGAGGGGAAG
Erinaceus europaeus (western European hedgehog) is the source of this 389-nucleotide long non-coding RNA. RefSeq lists it as uncharacterized. The record is from RefSeq and is a predicted model, not a curated record. Lineage: Eukaryota; Metazoa; Chordata; Mammalia; Eulipotyphla; Erinaceidae. The transcript has 3 exons.